Molecule: ribosomal RNA, 247 nt
Filed under: uncultured bacterium
Lineage: Bacteria
Description: partial 16S ribosomal RNA
Rfam family: Bacterial small subunit ribosomal RNA
Source: RNAcentral
AGAUGGCGACCGGCGCACGGGUGAGUAACACGUAUCCAACCUGCCGAUAACUCUGGAAUAGCCUUUCGAAAGAAAGAUUAAUACCGGAUGGCAUACGAAUAUCGCAUGAUAUUUUUAUUAAAGAAUUUCGGUUAUCGAUGGGGAUGCGUUCCAUUAGUUUGUUGGCGGGGUAACGGCCCACCAAGACAACGAUGGAUAGGGGUUCUGAGAGGAAGGUCCCCCACAUUGGAACUGAGACACGGUCCAA